AUAAAAUAAUAUAAAUAAGGGAAAUCGGUAAAAUAAAUCCGUAACUUUAAGAAAAAGAUUAACUUUAAAGGUUAAGUGCGUUAAGCCUUUAGCUAAAGCGUUAAGAGCAGGGGGCUAUUAACCGGGUAACCGGCCGAAGGCCUUUAGUACCCGGUGCGGACGCUUUUAACAAACUUCGGCCGUCCGGCGCAUAAUUAAUAAUCAAUUUAAAACUAGUACGGAGAAGGGGAAUUUAACUAUUUAAUUAAAAUAUAAUAUUACGAUAACUAAAAAGUAGUAUUAACGUAAUGUGAUUUUUGUUUAAUGCUUUAAAUAUUAUAGUAAAGAGAUUUAAUUAAGCGCGGGUAAAUAGCGAGAGUAAUUAUAACUCUCUUAAGGUAACCAAAUACUUCGUCAUUUAAUUAAUGACGCGUAUAAAUAAAUUAACGAGAUUCCCAUUAUCCUUAUUUACUAUUUAACGAAACUAUAAUUAAAGGAACGGGCUUAAUAAAAUCAACGGGGAAAGAAGACCUUAUUAAGCUUAACUUUAAUUUAACAUUAUAAAAAGAUAUAAAAGGUAUAGAAUAAGUGGGAGCUUCGGCGCCGGUGAAAUACUACUACUUUUAUUAUUUUUUUACUUAUUUAAUAAAGCGGGGCUAAACGUAUAUUUAACUUUUAAUAUUAAAGUCUUUCGCGGGCCGACCCGGGUUAAAGAUAUUAUUAAGUAAAGAGUUUAAUUAAAGCGGUACAUUUAUUAAACUAUAACGUAAGUGUUUUAAAAGGGGCUUAUAAAGAAUAAAAAUUUUUAAUAAAAUAAAAGGGUAAAAGUCUUUUUAAUUUUAAUUUUUAAUGUAAAUAUAAACUAUAAAAGUGUGGCUUAUUAAUCUUUUAAUUUUUCGAAAUUUAAAGUUAAAAGUAUUAAAAAAGUUAUUAUAAAGAUAACUAAUUUAUAACGGCCAAGCGUUUAUAACGACGUCGCUUUUUAAUUUUUCGAUAUCGGCUCUUCUUAUUAUACCGAAACAAAAUUCGGUAAGCGUUAAAUUAUUUACCUAUUAAUAAAAAACGUAAGCUAGGUUUAAACCGUCGUAAGACAAGUUAAUUUUACCCUAUUAAUAACCUCGCCGUAAUAAUAAUUAAGCUUAAUACGAGAAGAACCGCUUAUUUAAAUAAUUAGUUUUUACGGUUAUCCGACCGGGUAGUGCCGCGAAGUUACCAUCUAUUAAAUAAUGGUUAAACGCCUUUAAAUUAAAAUUUAUACUAAAACGCGGCGACACCUCCCGCACGUUAUAAACGGAUUAAAAUAAGCUUCGGCCUCGUAUCUUAAUAAGCGGUUUUAUUAUUAAGCUAGAAAAAGCUCGGUAGUCUUCCGCGUAUCGUAAUUUUACUACGCGCGGAAUUAAAUCCUUUAUAAACGACUUAGCUAUGCGAAAAGGUUUUAUAAAUAAUAAAGUAACCUUAUUAUUACGAUUUAUUAAGGGUAAGCCUUUUUUCGCCUCGAUUU
This 1480-nucleotide non-coding RNA is filed under the name Ophiostoma piceae UAMH 11346. RNAcentral describes it as "Eukaryotic large subunit ribosomal RNA". It matches the Rfam family "Eukaryotic large subunit ribosomal RNA", at positions 1890 to 3399 of the family's 3401-position model. Lineage: Eukaryota; Fungi; Ascomycota; Sordariomycetes; Ophiostomatales; Ophiostomataceae. The record is from Rfam by way of RNAcentral.